GUGAGUCAUCGAAUCUUUGAACGCACAUUGCGCCCGCCAGCAUUCUGGCGGGCAUGCCUGUUCGAGCGUCAUUUCAACCCUCGAGCCCGACUUCCUUGCGGAGGACGGCUCGGCGUUGGGGGACGGCACACUCCCCCCGGCUCGCCGGGGACGCCGCCCCCGAAAUUCAGUGGCGGCCCUCGGAGGCGACCUCUGCGUAGUAACUCAACCUCGCAAAGGGAAGCUCCGAGCGGCCACGCCGUGAAACCCCAACUCUUCAAGGUUGACCUCGAAUCAGGUAGGACUACCCGCUGAACUUAAGCAUAUCAAUAAGCGGAGGA
RNAcentral lists this unclassified non-coding RNA (320 nucleotides) under fungal sp. RNAcentral's name for it is "partial contains 5.8S ribosomal RNA, internal transcribed spacer 2, and large subunit ribosomal RNA". The stretch from base 1 to 71 matches the Rfam family "5.8S ribosomal RNA", at positions 84 to 154 of the family's 154-position model. The record is from RNAcentral. Lineage: Eukaryota; Fungi.